Molecule: long non-coding RNA, 249 nt
Filed under: Capsicum annuum
Lineage: Eukaryota; Viridiplantae; Streptophyta; Magnoliopsida; Solanales; Solanaceae
Description: long non-coding RNA (CANN_LNC016102)
Source: RNAcentral
CAUGUAUGCUAUUGAAGAUAAAUCCUUCUUCUAAAUUAUAAACAAGCAAACAUGAUUAUUUCUAAUUUGAACUUUAUCCGUAGCCUUAUAAAAAUUUAACCAAAUUCUUAUCUAGACUCUGCAGUUUUAUACGUUAAAAUUUACAAUAAAAGGAUACUAAGUAGUUUUGCAGGAUAUAUAAAAUAGUUAAUAAUAACCUUCAAAUGUACUAAAAUAUAACUGGCCACUUUCUCCAAAAGGUAAACUAAA